AACGAACGCUGGCGGCAUGCCUAACACAUGCGAGUCGAACGAGACCUUCGGGUCUAGUGGCGCACGGGUGCGUAACGCGUGGGAACCUGCCCUUAGGUUUGGAAUAACUCCCCGAAAGGGGUGCUAAUACCGGAUAAUGUCUUCGGACCAAAGAUUUAUCGCCUUUGGAUGGGCCUGCGUUGGAUUAGCUAGUUGGUAGGGUAAAAGCCUACCAAGGCGACGAUCCAUAGCUGGUCUGAGAGGAUGCUCAGCCACACUGGGACUGAGACACGGCCCAGACUCCUACGGGAGGCAGCAGUGGGGAAUAUUGGACAAUGGGCGAAAGCCUGAUCCACCAAUGCCGCGUGAGUGAUGAAGGCCUGAGGGUUGUAAAGCUCGUUUACCCGGGAUGAUAAUGACAGUACCGGGAGAAUAAGCUCCGGCUAACUCCGUG
This 433-nucleotide ribosomal RNA is filed under the name uncultured bacterium. RNAcentral's name for it is "partial 16S ribosomal RNA". It matches the Rfam family "Bacterial small subunit ribosomal RNA", at positions 29 to 507 of the family's 1533-position model. The record is from RNAcentral.